Molecule: long non-coding RNA, 2570 nt
Organism: Heterocephalus glaber (naked mole-rat)
Lineage: Eukaryota; Metazoa; Chordata; Mammalia; Rodentia; Bathyergidae
Source: Ensembl
GAGAGACAGAGACAGAGACAAAGACAGACAGACAGAGACAGAGACAGAGACAGAGACAGAGACAGAGAGAUCGAGAGAACGCUUGUCCUUGUGCUGCAGACCCCACCACUCAAUUCCAGGGCAUCCGCAAGUGUGAGGUCCCAGGCUGGAAACCGGUGCCAGUCUGAACCGGGGACCACGGGGCUUAAGGUUAUCUGGGGUCCCAGCCCCAGCCCCGGGGCAGCUGGCGGGAACACGUGGGUCCGGUCAGGCUCGGUCCCACUGGGGUCCCUGGACUGUCCUCUCCUUGCGUUCGAACUUUCGAAUUCCUGCACGGUGUGGCGACACCGCGUGCCACAGCAAGUUCGAUGGCGAAUGCGAGGGCGGCAGGAACCCGGGGGCUUCUGGUGCGCCCCUCGCCUGCCGGGACUCGAGGCUGGGGUCAGGGGUACAUACCGGGCACCGUCGCGAGUCCCGAGGGCGGCCGCGCUGGGUCCGGGUUCAGCCGUGGCAUCCACGCGCGACUCGGGCUCUCGCAGCCGCGCUGCCCCCUUUAACUUUCCGGCCACCACUCGGAACGGCAGCCCAGACCCUUUUUCACGUGAACGCCCCCCGUACCCGCCGACCAAUAGCGGCGGCCGCGGGGAGCAGUGCUCCGCCUCGUGCUAGGCAGCGUGCCUGGAGUGACAGGGCUGCAGUCCAGGGGCAUAGGCAGGGUGACUCCUUCCUGGAGGACGUCCCGUUACCCCGAAAGGACCGGCUGCCGGCAGCGUGCAAAGUUCUCCAGCCUAAGCGAGGUUCUAGCCAGCCAAGGCGUUGGGAAAGACGGGGCAAUUGUGCACUCCCUGCCUUCCUGAGACUCUAGCCUAGCCCGGGGCUUACAGGUGACAGUUACCUCCCCAGCACGUGCAGAGCUGAAGGGUCCUUGAGAUAACAGCAGGUACGUUUCGCUGGGCUUCAGGAGAGUCAGCCCCUACGACAGUGCCCAGAGUCACGUGCCCAUCAUGCUCAGGUGUUAGCUAUGGAAAUUAGAGUAACGUGUUUUACAGUACAUAGAGUUAGUAUUCGGGAGAGGACCGCCGCCCACCGCACACAGCACGACGGUUUCUCAGUUUGUUUCUUCUGAAGCCUCAAGGCCUAAUGGAGUCUGAAGGUACAGCCGUACAAUUUCAUGGCAUCUCAAUCUUGAGCAGUGAUUGCUUGAUUGCUCAGACUCAGAGGAGUCCUAUUUGAGAGUCAGCUUGGAGAGCCUAUCAGGGGGUGAUCUCCCUUCUUCCCAUACCUUUUCCAAGGAGAUCAAAACCUCCUUCAAAGGUUAUGCCUGCCACAAUGAGAUGACAACCUUCUCUGAAGGAAAUGUUUUAGGCUCUUCGGCCAACAACCUCCCUACCAUUGAAGAACCUGAGGAAAUAGAGUCUAAGAAGAUGCAUCAACAGGAGAUAUGAAACUCAGGACAAUACAAGCCAAGUUUGCAAAUCAAGCCUCAACUUCAGACUCUGAUGAUGAAGUCUCAGCAGCUGAUCAGAAUGUCACUGGCAACAACCAGCAAAUGGAUAAGAAUCCAAAACUCAGAGGGCACAGAAUGAACCUCAUGAAUAGCUGGCCAGAAAUACAGCUUGUCCUUCCUGAGUCUGCUGAGAAAAGUAAAAAUGAUGACAGUGAAAAUCAGAAGGACAAUGAAGAAAUUGAGAGCAGUGAUGAAGAAUAUCAAGAACCUGAUGAACAUAUUCAGAAAUAUGACAAAGACAAUAGCCUCUAGCUCCAGGAAUCACUCGAGGAAGAUUUCCAGCAGGGCAGCACCUCCCCUCCACAUCCAGCUCAGGUCCCUCAUGAAGACCCCACCCAAGUCCCAGAGAUGCCGCCUAUGCUCAAGGAAGAUGAAGUUGCUGAGGAGAUGGUAAGUGAAAGACCAACAGUCAAAAGACCACCAUAAAGAUUCCUCCUCAGUCCCUCAGUACAGUCAGAGGAGGAGGACGACACUGGCCUGACACACAAACCAUAACCUAUAUGAACUAUAGGCAGGCUUUCUGCUGGCUCCGGAAAAGAGUUCUUGCUUGUUUUGGAGGAGAGUGAUGGUCAGCAGCCCACCAGCAAUCCCAACCAAGAAAAGAAGUUCUCAAGAACUUGUUCCUAAGUUCCAUGAACUUUUCAAAUCACACCAGGAUGCUGCUGCUCCUGUCUUUACAAAGAAGGGGAAGGUGACAGAAGUGUUGCAAGUGGUAAUUGACUGAGGCGGGAGGCCUCAUGUGCGUAGAUUUCUUGGCAUGAAUUGAGUUCAUGUGAGAAAUGGAUAUCUCACACCAAGAGAGUUCCUGAAAGUUGUGAAGAUGCAAUAAGCAGGCCUCUGGCUACCCUGAUCCUUUCCAGAGCAUUAUAGACGCCUCUGAGGCCAUUAGGCUCUGGAGUUUGCUAGCUUUCUUCUGCUUUUGGAAAUACUGCCUUGGCUGCCUGAUUAACUGGGAGAAACAACCUGCACACUAAGUCCAUUGUUCUGAGAGAUUCCUAUAGGAUGUGUUCCUUGGCCAAAGCCAUAUCCCAAGGGGAAUGGCUGUUGGCUUUUUGGCAGGAGAAUAAGGUCAUGCUGCGAUAAG